This 518-nucleotide small RNA is filed under the name Histoplasma capsulatum. Its description in RNAcentral is "hypothetical RNA". The record is from RNAcentral. RNAcentral also lists the same sequence under 1 other name. Lineage: Eukaryota; Fungi; Ascomycota; Eurotiomycetes; Onygenales; Ajellomycetaceae.
CUGACGCGCAAGUUUGGCCAUAGGCGGAUCGACCCGACUGAGAUAUUUGAUUAUGGCUUGGAUGGAUAAACCCAUACUGUAUAAAUCCAGGCCAUAAAAGCCAGCUCGCCUCUCUUUGGGGAGGUGUGCGUUAUGAUCUCUCAUCCAAUGUACAAACUCUUGCAUUUCCUUGUUACGCCACAUCCACGUCGGAAAGCGCCUGAACGCCGGCUCUGGGGAGGGAUCCAAUUUUGAUUUAACACCGGGGCGCAGUCUCACAUACCGAUCGACCGAUUCUGCAUCGGGCCAGUCGGCUUCCACAGCUACUGUGUCAAAGCCGUGAUGUUCAAUAAGGUGCUUGGUAAUCUCUGCACGAGCCUGGUAGAACUCGGAAGUACCAUGACUGCCGUCACCUAUUAGAACAACUUUGUAAUCCCCAAACUGAUCAAAAUUGGAUCCAAAAGACGUGUUAAUAAUUGGCGGUAGAACCUUUGCGGCAGACUUCAUGCGUGAUGAGAGCAUUGAAAGCUGGGAAGCCA